This 73-nucleotide transfer RNA is filed under the name Neotoma lepida (desert woodrat). It matches the Rfam family "tRNA". From Rfam's summary of the family: Transfer RNA (tRNA) molecules are approximately 80 nucleotides in length. Their secondary structure includes four short double-helical elements and three loops (D, anti-codon, and T loops). Lineage: Eukaryota; Metazoa; Chordata; Mammalia; Rodentia; Cricetidae. The record is from Rfam by way of RNAcentral.
GCCCAGCUAGCUCAGUCGGUAGAGCAUGAGACUCUUAAUCUCAGGGUAUUGGGUUCGAGCCCCACAUUGAGCA